AGGCUUGUGAGCAUCCCAAAUUCUUGGGGUAAUUCUGUGACACAAGUUCCUGACAUUACUAAGUAAACCAGACUUUUCAACUUCCCAAGUGAAGCAGGUAGUUGCCGGAGUUCUGCGCAUUGACUUAGUCUUAAGGUGCGAAGCCUUUCAAGCAUUCCUAUGGACUCUGGCAGUGAUGUUAUCAUGGUGUCAUCCAAGAACAGAUCGGUCAGGCUCAACAUAUUUCCAAUGGACUCUGGUAAUGUUUUUAGCAAAUGACACGAUCUCAUCUCAAGUUUUUCGAGCAUGUUCAAAGCCCCAACCUGACUAGGAACUUCUUCAAUUGCUGUCCCGUCUAAAUUAAACCAAACCAAAGAUGACAAGCCACCGAUUGUGUCAGGCAAUUGGCUUAGAUGUUUACAAAGAUUGAGGGAUAGGCAUUUUAACUGGGAUAAGUGACCCACGGAAGCAGGUAGCUGUGUCAGUGAACUGCAACCAAGGAAAAGAUGUGUCAAUGAUCUGAGAUUCCCAAUAGUAUCAGGAAGUGUCGUAAGCGAUCUGCACAACACAAGACUUAGUUUCUCAAGCUCUGUCCAAGACUCUAUUGAACUUGGAAGUCCUUUGAUUGCUGAACCAUCAAGAGCAAUGUUCUUUAGAGAUCUCAGUUCUCCAAUGCAAUCAGGAAGUUGUUCCAGUGCAGUGCAUCUCUUUAAACUGAAAUUCUCUAAUUUUGUGAGUCGAAAGAUUGACUGAGGAAGUUGCUUUAUCGCCGUGUAAUCAAUGAAAAGCUCCUUCAAAGAUCUCAUCCCACUAAGGUCUGUCGGCAGUUCCUUGAGCUUUGAACAACCAGAGAGGACUAGUGUUUCAAGACAUUUCAAUCCAGAGACAUCACUUGGGAAUUCCAAAAGAUUGGAGCUGUCACUGAGGUUCAAAUAUUUCAACUUGGUCAGGUCACCGACUGACUUAUGAAUCUUCAGAAGUCCUUUGCAACGCACAAGAAUCAGUUUCUCCAACAUAUCAAACCCAGAUAAAUCGGGGAUAUCAGUAAGGUCAUAGCAAUCACGGAGAUCCAUGACCAACAAUUUCUUAGCCAACUGUCAACAAGAGUAUUUUAGAAGCAAAAUAAUUAUGGUAGAAAAUAUUGAGGGAAACGGACUUAUGACAAAAAUAAAGGGCAAAAAUGGAAAGUAGAGGAGCAUAUGCAUAAUUUGCUUAUGUACAAGUGCAAGAAAAAGAGUCCAGGAGAAAGCGGUAGAAGCAAUUGGUAUCUUUAUGGAUGGAAAGGCCAAGCUGACAGAUGGAAUUCUAGGAGCAUAAUUCAGUUCUUUUGCCAGCGAGUAAGCUUAAUGGAUUUCUUGAAGCUGUUCAAAGAAGGAAGACAGGAUAAGAAGCACACCCAUGUCAAAGGGUUUGUCACCUUCUGCACCUAUUCUACAAAGAGUAAUAAACCAGGAAAAGGUCUGAGUUCAGCCCAAACAAUAUAACACCUUCAUCGAUUAUCCACAAAUCUUGUAUAGAAAGUACUUUGGCAUUCAUUAUCACGAGGCCAGAUGUUGGCUCCAGUGCUACAUGCUCUCGUCACAUCAAAAUAGUUGACUAAGGUCUAGGCAGCACUGCGAAAAGAAUGUAGAAUCAUCUACAUGUCAUGAGAUUUUCAUAUAGCAUACCUGUUUCUUAGAAUGUCUCCGCUCCAGCAUACUAGUGAUUUUGCUUUCUGGGAGGUCAAGGACUGCAAGAUCCUGGGGGCAACUGUCGAAAGGAAAUGUCUUCAGAGGGCAACCUUUCCACUGAAGCCACUUCAGUUCUGCUGGUAUAUGCUUGAAACCUCCAUCCAGUGCCACAUAAUUAAUUUGAAGCAGCCUAAGGUCGACCAUCUGUGUAAAACAAGUAGUUUGCAGAGUCACCACCUUAUCAUUGUCUUGCUUCCGGGGAAGACAUUUCUUGCACAUUUCCCUGAAGUAUGCAAAUGCUGACUGAAAAGAGCGGUGCAAAAUGAAGUAAUGUCUUAGUAGAGCCGUUGUGCUUAUCUCCUCCCUUUUUCCCAUGUCCAAUGCAAUUCCCUGAAUAUUUCUUGUUCCCUGUGACCAUUAGAUGCAAAAAAGUUUCAGACAUGAAAUCAAAUCAAGUUCACAGAAAGGGAAGGCCGAAAUGCAUAUAUAUAUAUAUAUAUAUUUGUGAAUACGGAGUGAUGCAAGUAUUUGAUAGAUACAAAAGCUUAAAAAGCUUAGUAGCGUGUUUGUUGGACAAGUAAGCAACAUAUGUAUGGGAAGAAACAACUAUUGAACUGAGGCUGCAUCGGUUAUCAAUCUACUUUAAGAAGAUUUUUGGAUCAACUACAACAGAAGUUUGUGACAGAUAAAUGCUCCUAAGGUUUAGGCAAUUCAUUCGUACGAGUCAAGAUAGCAAAAUAGUCUUCCUACCUUCUUGUUCUUCAGAACUGUGAGGAUUUCAUCGCGGUCCCAUAAUCUGCUGCGCAUACUAGGGUGUUCAUAGUUUUCUUGCUGAACAAUAUCUCUUCCCAUGUCCCUUAUUUGGUCAUGCAUCCACAAGACGCCAUCCUCAAUGAUUUUAAGAAGCGAUUUUGCUAUUAGAACCUUAAUUGUUAUCUCAGGAUUUAGACCACAACCCCUCAAUACAUAUAUAGCAUCUUCUCUAGUCAUCUUCAUCUGAACGAAGAAGCAUGCGAUAUCGAGGAAAACACACUUCUCUUGGUCAUCGAGCGCAUUAAAGCUUAUCCCAAGAACAUCUUGCAAAUGGCCGGGUCGAAUCUGUUCCAGCUUCUGCAAUGCAUCUUGCCAUUCCUCUGCCCUCCUCUUGUCAUACAAGAAGGAUCCAAAUACUUCCAGAGCCAGCGGGAGUCCCCCCGUGAGAGCCACAAUUUUCUCUGCCACGCCCUUUAAGCUUUUAGUCGGUUGGUCCCUUCCAAAGGCAUGGAGACUGAACAGCUGAAGUGCCUCUGGGGAAGUCAACUCCUUCACCUCAUAAAACACAUUCACUAUGCUCUCCGGGAGGACCUCUUUGUCUCGUGUGGUCACGAUGAUUCGAGUUCCUUCGUAGAACCAGUCUCGACUACCACCCAGCGCCUUAAUUUGCCUUAGGUCGUCCACAUCAUCGAGCACAAUGAAAACGGGUUCCUCGAAUGCUAGACUUCUUAUCAGAUCGAUGCCGGCUCCAACAUUCUCGAUUCGCUGUCCCGACUCUUUACUUGAGGUAAGAUUACUGAUCAGUUUGGCUUGGAGAGAUUCUAAGCCACCUUCCAUCCGGGAAGCCUCUCUAUCUUUGGAACAAAGCUGCGGCGUCGGAAGUGAACCACGAGCUUGUUGUAAGAGCCUUGGCCAGGGUUGUCUUGCCGAUUCCUCCCAUUCCAUGGAAUCCCAAGAUCAGGACACCCUUCGAAUUGACGUUCACAAUCCUCUUCAGCUCUUCGAAGCGACGUUCGAGUCCAACGGGAUACUUGGCCACUCCCAAGGGCGUGUUCUUCAACUUGGUCAAUAUUCUCUUCACUAGAGAUUGGAUUAGCUCCGCUUCGUCCCUGUCAUGAACGUGGUCACCAUGUAAAGUGGAGUUGAGGAUUAAAUUAGACAAUGGAAUUGUGGCGAAUUCCCGGAUGCUUGAAUACAGCUCGCUUAUUUAAACAUUCACUCAGGUCUGCACUUUAGGAAAUGAUCUUCCAAAACGAUUUUUUGAAUUCCCACUCAUUGAUUUAGGAACUGAAUACAUAGCAGCCAACUUCUGCAUCAAGGAUGUGGAUGAUCUUCUGUCAAGGUCAUGUUUUCCAUUUUCCAAACCUCAGAAUAUAAAACAUGUUCAUCCACAUGCUGGGAAAGAGAUGUCUUCUUCUAUAUGAGUCUUGAGUGAUUAAUCUUAUGCAGUUCCAACUGAUUAUUAGGUUACAAACUGUAGCCAUCAAUUAAAUAUGCAAAAUUAAUUGAAUAUAAAGUUGAAACGAGGCACUUCUAGUUUGUGUUUCGUUCCGGAAAUAUGAUGGAAUUCUUUUUUCCAAUUCCUUUUACCGUUAAUGGCUUGGAGUUUAUGCAUGUGCUCAUUCUUUUUAUCGUUAAUGGAGUAUUACACUGACAAAACAGAAAUGACUACGAAUUAUCAUUAUCAUUAUUUAUCAUUGUGAUAACUUAUUUAGUAAUGCUAGCUACACAAAAGUUGUUAUGCAAAAUUGGUGUAUACUGAGCAAUGUGUAUAUCAUAAGCAUGCACUUGAAUGAAAGUGUUGUAUUUGAAAUCAAAUGAAAACCACUCACAAUCCCAAAUUGGUAUAUUCAUGCCACGAUUGCUCCAAAUUCAUUUUUGUGUGACAAAAAAUCUCUAUGCCACAUUUACUCUAAAAAAAUCUCAGAUUAACUACAAUUUAUGGUAAAUGUGGUAUUUUUGAUCAUACAUGUUUUGGGUAGUUUGGAGUAAAUGUAACAUGGGUAUAUUUAUUUGGCCGUGACCCUCAUCCAAUGGCUGGCAAGCUCACAACCCUUGCCCAAUGCUCGCUGGCCAUUGAUGGAAAAAAGAAAAGAGAAGAGGCAAACGUAAAAUUAAUAAAAAAUUAAAAAGAACUAUUAAAAAUUAUUUUUAAAAUGUCAACGUAAGCGUCGGUCAUUUUACAUCGCGAGCCAUGCCGCAUAAGACAACGUAGGACAACCAAUAUUUACGUCAACAAUUUCCGACCUAAAUUAGUUACAUGGAUUGAAUUGGUAUAAAUAUAAAAUGGUUUAGGAUAAAAUUGGUCUAAUCAAAGGGUUUAGAAAUUAAUAUAAUAGAUUUAUAAAUUUUUUUUAUACUUUCUCCCAAUUUCAUCUCCUUUCUUCUUACAACGAUUUGAUCGUGUUCUAAACAUCAUAAUAGAGAACAACAAUAACAAUAAUAAUUUCCGAUCAUCCUAACUCAAUCCGGAUUUCACCGUGCAAUUAUCGUAAGACUCGUUUAGUGAAUUCCGUGACAACAACAUAUACGUGCCAACUAUACCUCACAACAAGGCAAAUUUGAUGAUGACGAGAUGCAACGACUCAAUGGUUGGGAGGAAUUGCAGGGGCAAACGCUUUAACCUAGUCUCCAUCAAGACCCUUCCCCGGAAAAAACCCCCCAUGCAAUUGCAGAGCUAGCUAGAUGGAGAAGAACGUUCAGUAUGUAAAGGAAAUUCCAGUGGAUCAUACAAGACAACAGGCGUAGCUUGACAGCGAAAGAUGUAGAAUUGGCUGUCUACGGAUAUGAUUGAUUAUCGUAAGAAAUGAGUGCGGCCAAAAGUAGCCAACAUGAACAAGAGGACAACGAAGACACUUUAUCAUCCGCAUAGUUGAGGGACACAAUGUCAAAGUUAUUGAAUUUAUUAGACAUUCUCUUUUGUAUAAUUUGUGUGUAAUCGUUAUUAGGAAAAUUUGUAAAUGUGAUUUUUUUCAGAUUAUUUGAAAAUGUACCUGUACUUUUUCUGUGUUUAAUUGGCUUAGUGUUUUUCAUUAUUUCCCUUUGAUUAAUUUUUAAUUAAAAAUUUAAUUUAUUUAUAUAUAUUAAAAAAACGUGCUUGGCACGGUAAGAUCUCAUGCUGGGCCUAACACAAAGUGUGCUGAGCCUAGCGUGACCGACGCAGCCGAUUAGGAUGCGAAUGGUAACAUUUCUAUUCCGGGAAACAAUUUCUAUUUCUACUCUCUUGUAUAAUUUCUAAGUAAAAUAACGUGUCUAGUAACUAUACAAGAUUUCUAUUAUUGGAGUAGAAAAAGAAUAGGAAUGCGUUUGGUAUAGUCCACAAAUUUUUGUAUUUUUUCGUUUUUUCUUCAUGGUCACCGAUUGUCGAACGUUGACCGCUCGCCGCUGUAGGCGACAGUUGGUGGGCGGCAGACAACGUCCGAUGAUGAUUGUGCGGCAGGCGGCCGACGUUGGCGCUGGUGGCAAUUAGGCGCCAACAAGCGGCCAUUGGUAGCUAGUGGUGGCCGCAGGCGGCAACAAAUCCAAGGGCGACUGCUGCAGUGAGGGAGAAGAAAAAUAGAAAAGAAAAAAAUGGCUUAUUUCUACAAAUUAUUCAGGAACAAGAAGUUACUUUUUUUUUUUAACUUCUUGUUUUUGUUUCAAAUUUAUUCCCUAACCACUUUUCUAUUCCGAGGAAUAGAAAAAUUAGUUGUCAUUAUGAAAGGGAUUUCUGUUUCUUUUUUGUUACGGUAAACAAAAGAACAAAAAAUAGGGGAACAAAAAUGUUCCCAUGCAGCCCCUUUAGUCACCCCCGACUCUAAUAUUCUUCUUUCAAAAGAAAACUCAGCAUUGUUCUCUACUAAAAAUGAGUACAAUGAUUACAACUAAACCUAAAUCUCACAGAAAUGAUGUGUUUCAACAUAUUUAGGCGUGUAGUAUUUAGAUCAAAUGCAUCGGAAUGUAUAAACUUAUAUUAGAUUAUCGUAUCAGAAAGCAUUUAUACAAUAAGUUCAUCUUGUUACUGUUUGGUACGAAAUGUAUAUAUAUUCGAUCACUCUCGCAACUUAAGCCAGAGAAAGAAGAAAGCACCAGGCACCAUUAAAAAUCGCAUGGCGGAAUGCAGAGUGAAAUUUCUCAGCAGUGGGAGUCUAACGUGAGAAAAACGAAGAAGUCCAUGGAAGUGUUGGAGUCAACACCUAAUAGAAGACCCAAAAAAUUGACAAUGAUCAAGAGAAGUUACUUCUUGCAUGAAAGGCACGCCUUUCCCUCUCUCUAUUUCCUCAAGAAGCCGCAAGUCGCAAGAGAACAAAGUCAAAAGAAGAAAGGGAAGCAAGGUCAACUUGCUAACUUGUACUUGGACGUGAAGAAAAAGUUGCGGCUGUUCUCAGUUCACACUGAAGUCAGCAAUCUUCAAAAGCCAGUGACAACCUCAGAUUAUAAAUAAGGCAGCACGUGAAGCAUUUGAAGACAGGCCAAAGUGCCCCGAAGGCAGAAGUGCCUCAAGGCCGAAAGGUCUCAGAGAGGCUCAACAGCCUCAAGCCAUCGCAAGCAGAACAGACUCAGGGAGAGAGCCUCAAGCCAGAGAGAGGACGUCACGCCACACGCAGGGGGAGACUUCAAGCCAGAAAGGAAGCCACCAGGUGCAAAGGUGAGCUUUAGGGAAGCCACAUGCAUGUGAGCCUCCAGCAGUGAGAGCUUCAGAACAGGAAGUACAGGAAGUCACCAGGUGCAACGGUGAACUUCUAAUAGAGAGGCACUAUAGCCUCGGUAGCUUUGUGUGAGCAGUGAUCAAGAAGGGAAAAUAUAAUAGCUAAGUGUAUGCUUGUAUUAAGUUAGGUUUGAGCGUGGAGUAAAUUUGGGANNNNNNNNNNNNNNNNNNNNNNNNNNNNNNNNNNNNNNNNNNNNNNNNNNNNNNNNNNNNNNNNNNNNNNNNNNNNNNNNNNNNNNNNNNNNNNNNNNNNNNNNNNNNNNNNNNNNNNNNNNNNNNNNNNNNNNNNNNNNNNNNNNNNNNNNNNNNNNNNNNNNNNNNNNNNNNNNNNNNNNNNNNNNNNNNNNNNNNNNNNNNNNNNNNNNNNNNNNNNNNNNNNNNNNNNNNNNNNNNNNNNNNNNNNNNNNNNNNNNNNNNNNNNNNNNNNNNNNNNNNNNNNNNNNNNNNNNNNNNNNNNNNNNNNNNNNNNNNNNNNNNNNNNNNNNNNNNNNNNNNNNNNNNNNNNNNNNNNNNNNNNNNNNNNNNNNNNNNNNNNNNNNNNNNNNNNNNNNNNNNNNNNNNNNNNNNNNNNNNNNNNNNNNNNNNNNNNNNNNNNNNNNNNNNNNNNNNNNNNNNNNNNNNNNNNNNNNNNNNNNNNNNNNNNNNNNNNNNNNNNNNNNNNNNNNNNNNNNNNNNNNNNNNNNNNNNNNNNNNNNNNNNNNNNNNNNCGAGUAUGUCUGACUUCCCCUAAUACGGUUUUGAUGAAAUGACUAGAAAUGAACAGCAACUGCAGCACAGUUUCCGAGUUCAGAUCAGGAGCAACCGAUCAAAGACGGAAGAAGAAGGGUUUAAGUUCAAUCGACUGCUAAUUCAAAACCGGAUUCAUCAUGAACUUUCGGAGUAAGUACGAAGGAGACAGUCGCGCGGUUAUGAUUACUCACCUGCUCCUCGAAUCCCAGCCGGAGAUUCCACCAGCCUUCUCCAUGGCCGUCCUCCACGGGCGGACCACCUCCGCUCCGUACCUCCCCUCGUGCUUCUGGAACCCCCGCUCGAACGGGCCCGCCUGCCUCCGCACGUGCGAGGGGUCCACGUUGUAGAACACCGGGAGCAACAGCUUCCGGCGCUCGACGAUGUACGCGAGCUCCUCCAGGCACCACCUCGACUCGGCGUAGUUCUCGGAGAUAACGGCCACGGCGGCCGCCGAGUCGUCGAUCCCCUCCAGGAGGCCCGACGAUAUCUCCUCCCCUCCCUCGAGGCCUUCCUCGUCGCGGAAGGCGCGGACGCCGUUGAGCGCGAGCUCGCGGUAGAGGCUAUCGGUGACGCCGUGGCGCGUGUCGGCGCCGCGGAAGCUGAGGAAGACGUCGUAGCGGUAUCGAGAGGAGGACAGGGCGUCGUCCUCUUCGGGAUCUUCCAGCACCAUCGUCGUUGACUUCGCUUUCGCGAGGUCUCUUCGCGGAGGAGGUGAUUGCAGACUCUAGUGGCCAGCUUUAAUAACAGUAUAAAGCGCGAGAAAAUACUGGGUGGUCCCGGAUCUCCACGUCAGCGUGGUUUAAAUUAAAACAACGUGGGAGAGAAGAGGAGGAGAGGACUCGGAGGGGAGGGGAGACAGCAAGGGGCCCACACUUCCACGUGGCGCCGCAUGAGUUGUCCGGGACCACGCUGACGUGGAGGUCCCGGACCACCCAAUAUUUUCUCUUCGUAGGGAUGGCUAUACAUGCAUUCUCGUAGUCCAGUUCCUGUUCCAUUUGGCGCGUCUAUAUGGCGAGCAUAGCGAUUUCUACUAACUCCGAAGUGAAGUAUGUGGCCUGUCUUGACCUUUUUAUUGAAAAAUCUUCAAGUCCACUUCAAUCAAAGGAAAAAUUUUAAAAUUUAUCGUGGAAGAACAAUUAAAUUGUAAAAUUUAUCAAAAAAUAUAAUCAAAUCAUAAAAUUUAUCAAAUUAAUAUAAUAGAACCAUUUCAUUAAUUCACUAUCUAACAGAAAAUGCUGAUGUGAUUUUCUUUCAAUAUUUUUUCCAUCUUAAGUGACACGGCCUAGUUAAAACAUGAUUUUCUUUCAAUAAUUUUUACUAUCAUUUGCAUUUAAAUUAAAUUUUUAAAAAAGGAGAGCUGAGAAACUUGCACCCCUGGCUCUCAUCACCAAACCAUCGCUUGGAAAGGCAGGUGAUGGUGGGGCAUGACUGGCGAUUCGCAUGACUGGCGAUUCUCGCUCCUUUUUUGUUUAUUUAUAAUUUAUCUUAUUUUUAAUUUAACUUAAAUAAAAUUUAUAUUAAAAAUCAGAUUUAGAUCAAAAUAACGUUCUUUUUUUAAUUAAAUUACGUAGUAAGUUAGAUAGAGUUGACGGAAAUAAUUCCUUGCGCAAAUUUGACAAAUCCUAUGACUUUUUGCAUUUUUUGUAAGUUUCAAGUUCAAUUGCACUUUUAUGAUAAUUUAUAAUAUGAUUUCUAAUACACUUAUCUCUAAGAAAUACGUACUCGAGGGAUGCUUGAACAUGUUUGUCUUCUUCGGUCAAUAUCUAAAUUUCAAUAUUUCCAAACGUGCGCAUUCAUCUCGACCCAUUUAAAAAAAUUAUAUUUGUUAACACCAAAAAUGGCUUAGUGGGCCAUGGGUGAAUAAUAAGGCCCAAUAAGCUCGAGAUUUGUGAAACAAGCCCAUAAGAGUCCAGGAGAGAUCGCCAUCGUGAGUACUGACAAUUCGAUACCCAGGAGGAUAAGAAUGAAGGUAGUUACUGAAGGACUUGAUACCAACAAAUUCACGGAUAAAAUAAUGCAAUUAUUGGCGCGGCAUUAAAGAUUUCGGAAAAUUUGAAAUUGAAGUGAUGACCGCAAGAGGACUAUUAUUUGCAAUUCAUGAUUAUAAAUAGAUGAGUAGACACCACUGUAAAGGGAUCACACAAUUGAAAAGAAACUUAAAUAUAUACUCAAUUUCAGAUAUCUUUCUUUACUUAUCUUCGUUUUGCAUUUACUUUCAAUCGCUUUAGCUUUAUCCUUUAUUUAUCAUAGUCAUAUUAGAAUCGGUAACUUCCUUUCCAAAACGACACAAGACCUAAUAUAAACACACAAAAAAGUGAAAACUUAUCUUUCAAUGAAAGAUAUUUUGUGUGAGAAUCUUUUCAGUGAAACAAUGUGUGUCUUUUGCAUUUAUUCGAUCCAGUUAUAAUUGUUAGAUGGCCUAUGAUUUCUCUAAUCUCGUGAUUUCAAAUGAAGGAUUCAUCAAAAUAAGUUUUUGAAGUUUGUAUGAGAAAUUUGAAUUUAAAUAUUAUCACACGAGAAAUAUUAUUGGUCGAGACCGAUCUACUUGAUCGAUCGAUAAUGGAAUUCAUAUAGGAUUUUAUGAAACCACGAGUUUUUACUGAAUACUUUCGAGGUUUUCUACACUAGAUUGUUUAAUGCUAAGUUCAACAAAGGUGGGUUUCAUGCCUUUCUUUUUCGACUAAUGGGUAACUCUAUCCACCGAACUCCUGAUAAUCAUUUAUUUGAUGGGACCUAACUUUAGGGACGCGUGAAGCGCACAAAAUCAACGGUGGACGCAAGCUCGAUUCGGCGAAGAGAUUCUCCAAAGAGAUAUAUGCAUUACAUACUUAAAAACUUGUCACAAAAGUAUAAUCAAAUCCUAAAAUUUUUAAAAAAGUAUAAUUAAAUCUUAAAAUCUAUUAAAUUAGUGAAAUCGAGUCUUUUCAUUAACACCAUCAAAUUAUCUAACGGAAAAUGAUGAGUUGACAUUUUAAAAUUAAUUUCUCUACUACGCAAGAUUUUUUUAUUACUUUUUCCUUUAAAUCUUAUUUAAACAAUACCAAAAACAGAAAAAAAAUCUAAAAUAAUUAUAAAAAAUGGAAAAAAAAGUAGGUUAGGAACAUGCCGGUGGGCGCUAUCGUCACUGCAGUCUGCCGCCCAUUGCUAGAGGGGUUGGCAAGGCAUCGCUUGGGCAUAAUGGCAAUCAUUGGUGAGGCCUUGCCCAAGGUAGGGGAUGGUCGCUAGGGGUGUUAAUGGUUUUGUUCAGUUCGGUUUUUUUGAAAAACGGAACUAAACCGAACUGUUAGGAAAAACUUCCAAACCGAAUUGAAAUUUUGGUUCAGUUCAAUUUUCAACUUUUCGUUUUUGAUUUUUGCAUUUUUUUGUUUUUUUUUUUUCUGUUGUAUUUCCAAAAAAUAAGCUUUUAUUGAUUUGUUGGUUCAGUUCGAUUCAGUUAACCGAUAAAAAUCGAACCGAUAAAAAAAAUUUCGAUUUUUAAUGAGAAGCAAAUUGAAAAAACCAAAUUUUUCGGUUCGGUUUUUGACACCCCUAAUGGUCACCACCUAGAGAAGGGCCGGCAUCACCUAAAUUUCAGUGCCCUCAACCUAGUCUAGGUGAGCCUCACUUAGAGCCAGUGAUGAGCAACGGCGGCAAUAACACCCAGCCGCGAGUCCUUACCCUUUUUUUUUUCCCAAUUUUUUUUUAUUUUUUAAAUUUAUUUAAAUAAGAUAAGAAUAAAUUAAUUUAAAAUGCCACGUCGAUAUUUUUUUUAACAAAUUGAUUGUGUUAACGGAAGAAUUCGAUUGUAGCAAUUUAAUAAGUUUUAAUACUUAAUUAUACCUUUUAAAACUUUGAUAUUUUAGGAUUUGCAUUGCACAUAUCCCUUCUCCAAACUUUCAUGGAAAACAAUAAAGCAUCGCUUUUCUCUUUUGCUUGCUUUCUUCUCCUGUUCCUUUCUUGUCUACUUUGCUUCUCCUGUUAUCCUAUCUUUGUUCUCCUAGGUGGAGCUCAAGACCUAGAUAUUCUACUCUCACAAUAUUCUUACCUUUCAAUUACAUCCAAAACACGCUCUAAUAACAAGGUUCUUUUCCUUCUCUUGGUUAACUUCACUUACCAAAGAAUCACUUCUUUCUUAAAAAAACAUGUUCGAUAUGAUUUUACUCGUUUACUCUUCAGGUGACUUUUACCAUUAUAAACAAAUAUACCUCCGUGUACUUAUUAAGUGAUCAAAAGUUUGCAAUUUCCUAUGACCUUUUUGGUGGUGUUGAGAUUAGUGUUUUGAGAAAUAUAUUUUUUUUUGGCUAAGUAGUAAGUGAUUUUUCUCAAUAAUAAAUUUGGGAACCUCUCUUUCGCCAAAAAGGUGAUUGAAUUCCAAUCAACGUGCAUCACCCAAUCAAGCGAUUAAGAUUGAAGUUUGACAAUCCAAUGAGAAACUCUUUAGUUCAUUUCCAUAUGUCAUCUAACGAUUUUUUUUUUUUUGCCGUAGCCAUCUAAUAAUUGAAUUACCUACAUUUUCCUUCUUUUUUUGUCAGAUUCUUUUUUCUUUCUAUCGGUUACAUUUUGAUAUUUCCAAUUUGGUUAUCGAUAUUCCAAUUUAUAUUAUCACUAAAUUACAAUUGCUUAAAUCACGGAAAGUUUCGAUUCUAUUCUAGAAUACAAAAAUUUAAUACCAAAAAUUAAAGCAAAUGGGGGUCCGUGCAUUGCCUACUUACUAGCUCGGAUGUACAUUUAUCCGUUCAUUACUACUACGAAAUGAAAUUUUUAGACCGUUUUGAGUUUCUCUAUUAUUAUAAGAAUCGCAAACUUACAAUCUUUAGGAUUCUCUCUUUCAAAAUUGCUCUUCUCGACAAAGGGUCGUACACAUCGCUGAACAGAAGCAAAGGGAGGGAUGCAAUGAAACCAGACUUUCAGACUCAAUCCAGAUGCUGAGUAUCGCUUGUUUCAGAGCGGUAGGAAUACUGCUUACGUUCAUUCUGUACGUGCAUUUAUGGUUGCCAAACCGUGGAGUCUUGCGUGCUUUUCAGGAAACGUCUUGUUAUGUCUUCCCGUUCGUUGUUUCUUGUCAAAGCUUUUCCUCAUAAUGCUGGCUCACCUUUUAUUCACAACCGGCUCGCUGCUCAUUUCUUGCAUUGCCAUUGCUUGGUUGGCGGCAAUGAAAAAUUCCUUUGUUAUAUUUCACUAAUUCACCUGGUUGCUUUUUGUCUGGAUGAGUGGGAAAUCUGUUAGUUUAUUGUGGGCACUACUCUGGGAGCCAUCGCUGUUGCAUCCCUAAGUUGUUUGAGGAUGACAAACCAACCGAGCCUCAGUCAAAAAAGUUGGAUGGCUAUUAGGAAUUGCUGAAAGCGUGACUGUUGAAAGUAAGAAUUCUCAAGUUUUCAAAAGUGAUCCAAACUUCUAAAUUAUUUUCUUAUGAUCCUCUUCAAACCCAGAAGUAAUUAUAGACUCCUUGCGUAAGUACUUGCGGCUUGGUGCUUAAUCAUUUGGUCUUACGCAAGAGAAAGGCAGAAAAUAUCUUUCGGAGCUGUCCUAUUCUUUUCUGUUGGCAAAAGCUGUUUGCAAGAAAAGGUGUAUCAUCACCAUAUAUACACAAGUCCUUUUACUGUAGGAAUGAACCCUGACCUAGUAUCGCCGAAAGAGGCAUGUUGUGAAGUGGUCGAGUGAUGAAAGAGUUUCUAAAGAAGAAGUUUAGAGUGGCUUUUUGUCACUUCAUUAUGAGGAUAAAGAAAAAUAUAUUUCACAAGGAGCUGAGGAACUUGGCCAGUUUCUGAGACACUGACUUCUGGGAUUCCUCCAUCCAUUCUUCAUUACCAUCAUAAUCAUCAUCGUUCUCGAAAACCAGAUAUAUCCCGCGCUUUUUCAGUGAGAGCCCAGGAAAGUAGGGCGGGUCUCGCAGCACUAUAUCUAUCCUGUCUCCUUCUUUUAACAUCCGAACCAUUGGCCUGAAUUCCGGAAAUCUAAUCAAGUAAAGCUGGUCCUCACUUGUGUCGGGGACCCCCAUCAGGUUAAACACCGUGGUGUGUAUUGGAACUUCAAGCCUGAGAAGCCUUCCUUUAAUGCCCACGACUUCUGGCAGUAGAAUGUUUCCCGGGUGUACACUGUCCAGAGAGACCACAGCAGCGAAAAUUAUUCCUCUAAUCUCGCGGUUCUUUGGAGCAGAAAAAUGAGAAAUUUCCUGAGAAAACCAUCGUGGAGUCUCGCUCCCAGGGACACUCAAGUGGUACAAAUGCUUUAAAGCAACCUGAAUUUUCCAUGAAAAACACAUUUAAGGUCAAAUUUUCUGCAUUCGUGAUUGAACAUACUAAACAAAGGGAGAAAAACUGAGAACUGAUCUUCAAUUAUCUUUUGCUUCAGUAAAAUACUCUCUCAAAGUGGGAGCUAUGGGUUGUCUUUUCACCUUUUCAAUUCUUCUCCUCACUGCUGGCAAGCACGCUUUGCAACCACCCAAAAAUAAACUUCUUAGAGACUUCAAUACCUGGAGACCGGGGAUGUCAACUAAAUUGCUGCAACUGGUAAAAUUCAGCUUCUUUAAACCCUCCACAUUUGUCAAGUCAUAUAUACGCUCCAAUGCAGUACAGUUUGCCAUAUUCAACUCAAUCAAGCUUGAGGGAAGUGGAGGCAGAUAUAUGAGCUUGUUACAAUGAGACAAAUCGAGCUUUUUUAGAAGCACAAGGCCCCUCAGACUGGAUGGCAAGCUAGACAAAUUGUUACGACCCAAAUUCAAUUCCUCCAAGGACGACAACCUUUCAAAAUUAUCAGAGAUGCUUCCUGAAAAUCCCCAAGCAUGAGCAUCCAUCUCUUUCAAUGAACAGAGAUUUGCAAAGGACUCUGGAAGAACGAUAUGUUUUAGAGGCUGUUCUCUAUUCAGCUCUUUUCUCAUUAUCAAUGAUGUCAGGCUUGUGAGCAUCCCAAAUUCCAGGGGUAAUUCUGUGACACCAGUAUCUGGCAUUACAAAGUAAACCAGACUUUUCAACUGCCCAAGUGAAGCAGGUAGUUGCCGGAGUUGGGUGCAUUCACUUAGUCUUAAGGUGCGAAGCCUUUCAAGCAUUCCUAUGGACUCUGGCAGUGUUGUUAUCAUGGUGUUAUACAAGCACAGAUCGGUGAGGCUCGACAUAUUUCCAAUGGACUCUGGUAAUGUUUUAAGUGAACGACAUGAUGUCAUCCGAAGUUUUUCAAGCAUGCUCAGAGCCCCAACCUGACUAGGAAGUUCUUCAAUUCCUGUUCCCGCUAAAUCUAACAAACCCAAAGAUGACAAGCCGCCAAUUGUGUCAGGCAAUUGGCUUAGAUGUUUACAACGAUUGAGGGACAGGUCUUUUAACCGGGAUAAGUGACCCACAGAAGCAGGUAGCUGUGUCAGCGAACUGCUACCAAGGAAAAGAAGUGUCAAUGAUCUGAGAUUCCCAAUCGUAUCAGGAAGUGACGUGAGCGAUCUGCACAGCACAAGAGUUAGUCUCUCAAGUUCUGUCCAAGACCCUAUUGAAUUAGGAAGUCCUUUGAUCGCCGAACCAUCAAGAGCAAUGUUCUUUAGAGAACCCAGUUCUCCUAUGCAAUCAGGAAGUUGUUCCAGUGCACUGCAAUCUUUUAAACUGAAAUUCUCUAAUUUUGUGAGACGAAAGAUUGACUGAGGAAGUUGCGCUAUCGCUGUGUAAUCAAUGAAAAGCUCCUUCAAAGAUCUCAUGCUGCUAAGGUCUUUCGGCAGUUCCUUGAGCUUUGAACAACCAGAAAGGACAAGUGUUUCAAGGCAUUUCAAUCCAGAGACAUCACUUGGGAAUUCCAAAAGAUUGGAGCAGUCACUGAGGUUCAAAUAUUUUAACUUGGUCAGGUCACCCAGUGACUUAUGAAUCUUCAGAAGUCCUUUGCAACACACAAGAAUCAGUUUCUCCAACUUAUCAAACCCAGAUAAAUCGGGGAUAUCAGUAAGGUCGUAGCAAUAACGGAGAUCCAUGACCAACAAUUU
This 15751-nucleotide long non-coding RNA is filed under the name Eucalyptus grandis. RNAcentral's name for it is "long non-coding RNA (EGRA_LNC007206)". The record is from RNAcentral. Lineage: Eukaryota; Viridiplantae; Streptophyta; Magnoliopsida; Myrtales; Myrtaceae.